Long non-coding RNA from Gadus macrocephalus (Pacific cod), 1078 nucleotides. RefSeq lists it as uncharacterized. The record is from RefSeq and is a predicted model, not a curated record. NCBI's taxonomy places the organism in Eukaryota, Metazoa, Chordata, Actinopteri, Gadiformes, Gadidae. The transcript is spliced from 4 exons.
AUCACAACAGUGAACUCCUAAUUAAUGAUCAAUUUUCACCAUAUUCCAUAUAUGUAAACAAUUGUCUGCAGGUUUUGUCUUUACAUUAUCUUUUUUUUAAUGUGUUCAUUUUAUUUGCGUUGAAUGUAUUUCUCAUUGAAGGUGAAGGUGAGGUCACAUGUCCACCACUGUAUGUCAGUAUUAUCAAGUAGGUGUUUUACUAUUUCCUCAACAUGUUGAGUCAUUGUAUCUUUAAGAGAUGGUACCAUGAAGAGAAUAAGUCUUAUACUUGAGCUGAACAACAGAUAGUUUCUCCUGUUGCUGUAGACCUGCUUUUGAGAUGGAAAACCUGGCUGUGGAUUAUUAUGGCUGCACUUCUAUCUGGGCUGAUAGCUUGGGACUCCAUCUCUCCUGAUAAACAGGAAGCCAGUGGAAAAAUGGGAGGAAGUGUAACACUCCGAUGCUGCUAUGAUACAGCCGUGUCACAACGUUAUUAAUCCAAAGGGGACCAGGUAACCAAGUAACAAAUGUAAUAGCAUGUGUUCACCUAAAGAGGGAGUCACUACAAUGGAAAACAACCUACAAGUGGUGCUGGGGUUUGGUUCUCCUUUAAAUAAAUUAAAUCUCAACAAUGCACAUAGCAAGACCCCUAUCCAAUGAGCUGACAUCCUUUGGUGGUGGCUUCAUAAACGCUAGCAAAGUAAAGGAAAAUCAAAAUGAGUUUACCCAUAGCGAAACUCAGCUUUUGCUGUGAUGCCCCCUAUUGGUCAUGAAUGGUAACAGGUCUGCUGGGUAUUGGAGAGCCUUGGAGAGAUGAGAUGAUGGGAGGAGCCAGCCACAAAAGGACUGUUGAGUAAAAUGUGUUUAUGUUUCUCUCUCCUGCUUUACUGGAACUCGCUCUGCUCUCCACUGCCUCACUCCAUCAUGCACUUUGCACUCGUGAUAUGUUUCAUUUUAUGUGGUCCAAGUGUUGAAGACAGUAUCAGUCAACAGAAGGAUGUCCAACGUGCUGUUGAGGGUGCUGGUGUUGUGCUCUCAUGCAGCUACAACAGCUCUGUAGUCAGUAGUCUCUUAUGGUACCGCCAGUACCCCGGCUCAC